This 648-nucleotide ribosomal RNA is filed under the name uncultured Bacteroides sp. Its description in RNAcentral is "bacterial SSU rRNA". It matches the Rfam family "Bacterial small subunit ribosomal RNA", at positions 73 to 715 of the family's 1533-position model. The record is from RNAcentral. Lineage: Bacteria; Pseudomonadati; Bacteroidota; Bacteroidia; Bacteroidales; Bacteroidaceae.
UCUUAGCUUGCUAAGGCCGAUGGCGACCGGCGCACGGGUGAGUAACACGUAUCCCACCUGCCGUCUACUCUUGGACAGCCUUCUGAAAGGAAGAUUAAUACAAGAUGGCAUCAUGAGUCCGCAUGUUCACAUGAUUAAAGGUAUUCCGGUAGACGAUGGGGAUGCGUUCCAUUAGAUAGUAGGCGGGGUAACGGCCCACCUAGUCUUCGAUGGAUAGGGGUUCUGAGAGGAAGGUCCCCCACAUUGGAACUGAGACACGGUCCAAACUCCUACGGGAGGCAGCAGUGAGGAAUAUUGGUCAAUGGGCGAGAGCCUGAACCAGCCAAGUAGCGUGAAGGAUGACUGCCCUAUGGGUUGUAAACUUCUUUUAUAAAGGAAUAAAGUCGGGUAUGGAUACCCGUUUGCAUGUACUUUAUGAAUAAGGAUCGGCUAACUCCGUGCCAGCAGCCGCGGUAAUACGGAGGAUCCGAGCGUUAUCCGGAUUUAUUGGGUUUAAAGGGAGCGUAGAUGGAUGUUUAAGUCAGUUGUGAAAGUUUGCGGCUCAACCGUAAAAUUGCAGUUGAUACUGGAUAUCUUGAGUGCAGUUGAGGCAGGCGGAAUUCGUGGUGUAGCGGUGAAAUGCUUAGAUAUCACGAAGAACUCCGAUUG